GCGACUCCAAUAGACCGUUAUUAAUUGUUUAAAACACGGAUGUUUGGAUAUAUUGUGCUAAAUGUGUCCCAUCUUACCCCAAUAUUAUAGAUUACAUCUUGAACUUUUUAUUACUGUAACGUAGCAUUACACGCAACAACUUACCUACCCAAAAUAAAUAAAUAAACAGUCCUUCCUUCCGCCCAUUGGCUUUUAGCAACUAAAUUACUGUUUUUCUCCGUCCCUCCAUUUAGUUUUAUACCUCGCCCCCACGCUUUUGGCUGAUUACCUGCUAAAACGCCUUCUUCCCAGCGCGGCGUUUUUGCAACAGCGUUCAGUUAGACGAAGCAAUGCUUACAGACCAGUGUAUAAAACUAGAUGAAGUUGUAGUUCUGUGCAAGGUUUGGGAUUGUAUUUGUGCAUAUUAGGAGGCUUUCAGUGGAGUUUUAUUUAUCUAGUAGGCUGUUGUAUCGUUAUAUGCAAAAGUUGACGAUGAAGAAUUAAAAAUGUUUAACACACCUACGUACACUACUGGGUACCAAACCAAAGUCAGUAAAAUAUACAA
Ciona intestinalis (vase tunicate) is the source of this 544-nucleotide non-coding RNA. NCBI's taxonomy places the organism in Eukaryota, Metazoa, Chordata, Ascidiacea, Phlebobranchia, Cionidae. The record is from RefSeq and is a predicted model, not a curated record.